This 253-nucleotide ribosomal RNA is filed under the name uncultured bacterium. Its description in RNAcentral is "partial 16S ribosomal RNA". It matches the Rfam family "Bacterial small subunit ribosomal RNA", at positions 524 to 776 of the family's 1533-position model. The record is from RNAcentral.
UACGUGGGCAGCAAGCGUUGUUCGGAAUUACUGGGCGUAAAGCGAGUGUAGGCGGUUUGCCGUGUCUGCCGUGAAAUCUCCCGGCUCAACUGGGAGGGUGCGGCGGAAACUGGCAGGCUAGAGUGCGGAAGAGGAAAGUGGAAUUCCUGGUGUAGCGGUGAAGUGCGUAGAUAUGCGGAGGAACACCGGUGGCGAAGGCGGCUACCUGGACCGAUACUGACGCUGAGGCGCGAAAGCGUGGGGAGCAAACAGG